Molecule: ribosomal RNA, 559 nt
Filed under: uncultured organism
Description: bacterial SSU rRNA
Rfam family: Bacterial small subunit ribosomal RNA
Source: RNAcentral
AGCGGCAGACGGGUGAGUAACACGUAGGUGAUCUACCCCAGAGACGGGGAGAACGGGUGGAAACAUCCGCUAAUACCGGAUAGGCUUGUUCGGUCAAAGGGACAAGGAAAGGCUCCGGCGCUCUGGGAGGAGCCUGCGGNCCAUCAGCUAGUUGGCGGGGUAACGGCCCACCAAGGCAAAGACGGGUAGGGGGUGUGAGAGCAUGGCCCCCCACAAUGGGACUGGAACACGGCCCAUACUCCUACGGGAGGCAGCAGCAGGGAAUAUUGCACAAUGGACGGAAGUCUGAUGCAGCGACGCCGCGUGGAUGAAGAAGGCCCUCGGGUUGUAAAAUCCUUUACAGGGGGAAGAGGAAGGACGGUACCCCUGGAACAAGUGCCGGCUAACUACGUGCCAGCAGCCGCGGUAAGACGUAGGACACAAGCGUUAUCCGGAUUUACUUGGGCGUAAAGCGUCUGCAGGCGGACAGGUAAAGUUGGGCGUGAAAGCUCCGGGCCCAACCCGGAGAGGUCGUUCAAUACUUGCGUGUCUAGAAGGGCGUCCAGAGGGGAGUGGAAUU